RNAcentral lists this ribosomal RNA (367 nucleotides) under uncultured bacterium. RNAcentral describes it as "bacterial SSU rRNA". It matches the Rfam family "Bacterial small subunit ribosomal RNA", at positions 29 to 373 of the family's 1533-position model. The record is from RNAcentral.
AACGAACGCUGGCGGCGUGGAUAAGACAUGCAAGUCGAACGGGCCCCGAAGUUCCCGUAAGGGAGUUUCGGGGUUAGUGGCGAACGGGUGCGUAACACGUGGGCAAUCUGCCGAGAAGUGGGGGAUAGCUCGCCGAAAGGCGAAUUAAUACCGCAUGUGAUUAGCUAAGACAUCUUAGCGACAUCAAAGGUGGCGCAAGCUACCGCUUUUUUGAGGAGCCCGCGGCCUAUCAGCUAGUUGGGNGAGGUAACGGCCUCCCCAAGGCGAUGACGGGUAGCUGGUCUGAGAGGACGACCAGUCACACUGGAACUGAGACGACGGUCCAGACACCGUACGGGUGGCAGCAGUCGAGUAAUUUUUCUCAAGU